Long non-coding RNA from Cydia fagiglandana, 108 nucleotides. RefSeq lists it as uncharacterized. The transcript has 2 exons. The record is from RefSeq and is a predicted model, not a curated record. NCBI's taxonomy places the organism in Eukaryota, Metazoa, Arthropoda, Insecta, Lepidoptera, Tortricidae.
CACAAAUCUCUGUUUUGACAAUUUGCUGGGACAUCAUUUAAUCUAUGGCUUGCAAUAUGUGCUAUUGCUGCACUCUGGUGGCAGAACAUUGCAGUAAUACCCCCUAUU